This 393-nucleotide ribosomal RNA is filed under the name uncultured bacterium. RNAcentral's name for it is "partial 16S ribosomal RNA". It matches the Rfam family "Bacterial small subunit ribosomal RNA", at positions 355 to 739 of the family's 1533-position model. The record is from RNAcentral.
UGGGGAAUUUUGGACAAUUGGGCGAAAGCCUGAUCCAGCAAUGCCGCGUGUGUGAAGAAGGCCUUCGGGUUGUAAAGCACUUUUGUCCGGAAAGAAAUCCUUGGCUCUAAUACAGUCGGGGGAUGACGGUACCGGAAGAAUAAGCACCGGCUAACUACGUGCCAGCAGCCGCGGUAAUACGUAGGGUGCAAGCGUUAAUCGGAAUUACUGGGCGUAAAGCGUGCGCAGGCGGUUUGCUAAGACCGAUGUGAAAUCCCCGGGCUCAACCUGGGAACUGCAUUGGUGACUGGCAGGCUAGAGUAUGGCAGAGGGGGGUAGAAUUCCACGUGUAGCAGUGAAAUGCGUAGAGAUGUGGAGGAAUACCGAUGGCGAAGGCAGCCCCCUGGGCCAAUA